RNAcentral lists this ribosomal RNA (449 nucleotides) under uncultured bacterium. Its description in RNAcentral is "bacterial SSU rRNA". It matches the Rfam family "Bacterial small subunit ribosomal RNA", at positions 328 to 794 of the family's 1533-position model. The record is from RNAcentral.
AAGCCAGACUCCUACGGGAGGCAGCAGUGGGGAAUAUUGCACAAUGGGGGAAACCCUGAUGCAGCGACGCCGCGUGAGCGAUGAAGUAUUUCGGUCUGUAAAUCUCUAUCAGCAGGGAAGAAGAUGACGGUACCUGACUAAGAAGCCCCGGCUAACUACGUGCCAGCAGCCGCGGUAAUACGUAGGGGGCAAGCGUUAUCCGGAUUUACUGGGUGUAAAGGGAGCGUAGACGGCAGCGCAAGCCUGGAGUGAAAGGAUGGGGCCCAACCCCAUGACUGCUCUGGGAACUGCGCGGCUGGGGUGCCGGAGGGGUAAGCGGAAUUCCUAGUGUAGCGGUGAAAUGCGUAGAUAUCAGGAGGAACACCGGCGGCGAAGGCGGCCUGCUGGACCGUGACUGACGUUGAGGCUCGAGAGCGUGGGGAGCAAACAGGAUUAGAUACCCCAGUACC